UACGGAGGGUGCAAGCAUUGAUCGGAAUUACUGGGCGUAAAGGGCGCGUAGGCGGCAGGAGAAGUCAGAUGUGAAAUUCCGGGGCUCAACCCCGGAGCAGCAUUUGAAACUGACCCGCUAGAGGGUAGUAAGGGAAAACGGAAUUCCACGUGUAGCGGUGAAAUGCGUAGAUAUGUGGAAGAACACCGGUGGUGAAGACGGUUUUCUGUGCUAAACCAGACGCUGAGGCGCGAAAGCUAGGGGAGCAAACAGG
This 253-nucleotide ribosomal RNA is filed under the name uncultured bacterium. Its description in RNAcentral is "partial 16S ribosomal RNA". It matches the Rfam family "Bacterial small subunit ribosomal RNA", at positions 524 to 776 of the family's 1533-position model. The record is from RNAcentral.